CUACCGGGGUUUCUAAUCCUGUUUGCUCCCCUAGCUUUCGCGCCUCAGCGUCAGAAGAGGUCCAGCCGUUCGCUUUCGCCACCGGCGUUCCUUCCGAUAUCAACGCAUUUCACCGCUCCACCGGAAGUUCCAACGGCCCCUACCUCGCUCGAGACCGCCAGUAUCCAGGGCUGUUUUCCGGUUAAGCCGAAAGAUUUCACCCCGGACUUGGCAGUCCGCCUACGCGCCCUUUAAGCCCAGUGAUUCCGAACAACGUUCGCACGGUUCGUCUUACCGCGGCUGCUGGCAC
This 289-nucleotide ribosomal RNA is filed under the name uncultured Planctomycetota bacterium. RNAcentral describes it as "uncultured planctomycete partial 16S ribosomal RNA". The record is from RNAcentral. Lineage: Bacteria; Pseudomonadati; Planctomycetota.